AACGAACGCUGGCGGCAGGCUUAACACAUGCAAGUCGAACGCCCCGCAAGGGGAGUGGCAGACGGGUGAGUAACACGUGGGAACGUGCCCUUCGCUUCGGGAUAGCCUCGGGAAACUGGGAGUAAUACCGAAUACGCCGUAUUGGGAAAGAUUUAUCGGCGAAGGAUCGGCCCGCGUUGGAUUAGCUAGUUGGCGGUGUAAUGGACCACCAAGGCUACGAUCCAUAGCUGGUCUGAGAGGACGACCAGCCACACUGGGACUGAGACACGGCCCAGACUCCUACGGGAGGCAGCAGUGGGGAAUCUUGGACAAUGGGCGAAAGCCUGAUCCAGCAAUGCCGCGUGAGUGAUGAAGGCCUUAGGGUUGUAAAGCUCUUUACCCGGGAUGAUAAUGACAGUACCGGGAGAAUAAGCCCCGGCUAACUCCGUGCCAGCAGCCGCGGUAA
Molecule: ribosomal RNA, 445 nt
Filed under: uncultured bacterium
Lineage: Bacteria
Description: bacterial SSU rRNA
Rfam family: Bacterial small subunit ribosomal RNA
Source: RNAcentral